RNAcentral lists this long non-coding RNA (9097 nucleotides) under Citrus x clementina. Its description in RNAcentral is "Citrus clementina (C. clementina) long non-coding RNA (CCLE_LNC003468)". The record is from RNAcentral. Lineage: Eukaryota; Viridiplantae; Streptophyta; Magnoliopsida; Sapindales; Rutaceae.
AUAUUAAAAAGGGUAUUGAAAAGAGACGAGGGGAAGAAUUUAGAGUGAGAUGUAGAGAAAGAAGUAGAGAAAAGGGUAAAAUCAUAAUUUUAUACUAAAAAUAAUUAAAAGUACAAGAUAAAGUACAAAUUACACAAAAUGAAGGUGAAAAUCAUAUUCAACACCCAAAUCAAGGGGGAGCUCCGAUUUAUAAAUGCAAUGGGUAUACUAUGGCCAUCAGAUGAAGCCAAUUCCGACGAACAGGAUUGUGCCAAGUGGCAUUCUCAGAUUGGAUGAAACACGUCAUUAGGGCUAUCAUUCCAUGCAUGCGUGUGUAUAGUACGUGUGUUUUUCGGUCUACUGAUAUGCUAACACGUCACUAGUCAAAUGCAGGGUCAACAAGUAUUGUUUCGAUGUGUGUAAGUCUACUAUAAAUACAUUAAAGGGCUGAAUAGAAUGUGACCACAUCAUUGGUCAAUGCUACAUCAACUAGGCUCAACCAACAUUAACAUACAUCCUACCACACUAUAUUCAAACCUGUAUAAAUCUAGUUUUAUUUAAUGAGAGUAUGUUUUAAUGCUGAUUUCUGUCAUUAUUCUGGUUUUCAGGGCUUCUGAAUCUGUUUCUAACAUCAAUGCUGCUAGGACUGGGAAAACAACUCGACUCUAUCCAAUACGAAAAAUUUGGAUAAGGGUUGGAUUGGAUUGUUUGCCAAACCCGAUCGGAUGUAUAUAACUAAUCUGAUCGGAUUAAAAUUGAUCUGAUCUAAAAGUCGACGGUGUUGGACACAAAUGAACACCACAGCUCAUAACUCACGCUCUUGGUUCCAAGCAAACAUCACAACUCCAUUUAAAGAAAAAAGCCAAAAAAAAAGUUACAAAAAUAAAUUUUAGGAGUCACACUUCACUGUUCACUCUCUUAUUUAUCUUCUUUCUCACUCUCUUCUUUUUUCCACAAACAACUAAUAAGCAACAAAAGUAGGUUAGAAUAACUAUGGGCCAAUGGUAGCCCUCCACUUCAAUCGAAUCAGCUGCACUGACAACGGAUUUAUUGGCUGAUGCAUUGACAGUGCCUCCAUUUUACUUCGAUUGGAUUUGCUCUUCCAACAAUCACUGAAAAAACCUACGAAGACAUCGAGGAAACCCACUACCACUUGAUCCAUUGGCCACUGCUUGAUCCACACAAAGCCAUCCACAAUUGCUCCAAUAAGAUCAAGAUCAACAGCCACCAUCACCAAGUCCUCCAAGCUUUUGAAUUUUUCAAUUCAUAUUUCAAUUUAUAAUUUUUUUAUAAAAAUUAGUGGAAACAAACUAAAGUGAAAAACUUUCAUUAAAAUAAUCUUGUAAUAACUAAAUAAUUAUAAAAAAAACCCAAAAUUAACAAAAAACUAAAAUUGUCCUUGACUCGAAUUGACCAAUGUAAAUAUCAGGUUGAGUUUAGAUGAUAAUUAUUUAUGAUAGAAUUGAAGAGAGGAUGUGCUAAUAUUGUCUUUGCUAUUCUUGUUUAGGUUCAUGGCCACCACCACUAUCAUAAGGCUGGCAAAAAAUAACAAAGUAAAUGCUAGAGAGAGGAAAAGGAUACUUUUGCUAAUAAAUUAAAUUAAUUAAGAAGUGACAACUGUAAAGGUACUUUGAGGAGGUCCAAUAUCACUACUUGAAAAAUACCGCGUAAUUAGUCCUACACAUUGAUUUAAUAUAAAAUGAUCAAGUCCAAGCCAAGCUCUAUUAGUGUUCAAUCGUUUUUGUGAAUUUUCAAAUUUUCUCUCAAUAUCAAUUUACACGAAUAUAGAAAGAUUUUAGAUUAAGAUUCGUGUAAUAAUGCAAAAUGCAAACAUGGAAAGCAUUAUUUGGCAUAAACAUAAAGACAUAAGUGUUGAAAUUCACAAGAGUAUUGAACCAAAUCUAAAAGCAUUAAUCAAAUUAUAAUAGAAGCUCAAGAUAUUAUGAGAAUUAACAUUAAUUAAUUGACAGUUUGACAAUUGGUGUGUGCAACUAUGUAUAAUCCUUAUUGAUUUUGUUCAAUGCUCUGGAUCAAUCAGUUUCCAUAGUAUUGCACACACCAAGCAUAUCGACUACCUUGGCAAUUGCUAAAUGGGUAAGAAGAGGAAUUCAUUAACAAGCUAGCAACUAGUUUGCGUCCAUGUUACCAUUAUUAUGACCAAGUUAAAGGAGCAUUAGCUUUUGGCUUCAUUGGACUCAUUAUCUCAUUGUUUUUGCUUCUCUAUUCAAUCCACACAGCAGUGUUGAAUCCCCUACUUGUUCAAAGAGUUGAUUCAUUGUCUCAAGUCAUUUUGGUUGCCCACUUUGAGAAUUUAUUUCUUCUUUUUAUGGUGCUUUUUAUCUAAUAAGAGUGUGCGAAUUGGAGCUUGCAUUUGUCAUCUCAAAAGCAUUACAAGAGAGACAAAGCAAGUAAAGUUGAAUAUUAACUACUUGAUGAAGAUUCCUUGUACUAAUUAAUCCUACAUGUUAUUCUUCGUGCUAACCACAUAAGGGUCUUGAAUUUGUAGGAGUUAAUAGUACUAGAUGCACGCACAAAAAACACAUGACAUAAUAUUGCGUACUCGUAAUGGAUUAGUUUAUUCUUUUACUAAAACACAGUUUUAAUUCCACGACAAUUGAUCAUUAUUGCAAAAGCACUGAAAGAAGAUAAAAGAAAUAACUAAUUAUCAAAUUCAUUUGCAUCCCCUUGGGGAACAAGGGCAGAUAUUGUCUUCGAGAGGCUUUUUUAACUUCUCGAUCAAACACUCUUCCCUUAUAAGCCCUGAGCAAUCAAUAAUGUCUAGUGAUGCUGUAGGAUUAAAGGAAAAUGAAGCAUUUGGGUUAGAAUAUUGGCAAGUGCAACAUGCUGAAAUAGGUGUGGCUUUAGUAUUUUCCAUUACAAGCAAAGCCAAGAUGAUGAAACUAAAAAUCUUUGACAUUUUUAAGUUUCACUAGCAGACUGACUACAAGUUUACCUGCAAGUCCCCCAAUAUGAUGACCAAAUUAAAGAAGCAUUAGUUAUUGGCUUCAUUGGACUUGUUAUCCACUUGUUUCCACUUCUCUAUUUAAUCCACACAGUAGGCCUGAAUCCCCCAACUUGGUCAAAAGACUUAAUUCAUUGCCUCAAGUAUUUUUAGCCACCCUGUUUGAGAAUUUGUUUAAUCUUUUUAUGAUGCUUCCUAUCUAAUAAGAGCAUGUGAUUAGGAACUUGUAUUUGUUUAAUUCAUAACAUUUUAAAAGCAUUACAAAAAAAAACAGAAAAGAAAAGCUGAAACUGACAACAUUGAUUAAAAUUCCUACUUGUUAUUCUUAAUGGUAACCACAUCUAGGUCUUGAAUUUGCAAGAUUUUGCAUCAUUAAAUGAUUAAUCUUAUUGUUAUCUCUGCUUUCACUAUUCUCUCAUAAAAAAAUAUUUUUUUAUCAUAUUAGCUGGAUAAAAAUUAACAAACUAACAUAUUAUCAUUUUUAAGCCAUCAAUCAAGUAUAAAUACUUAAUUAUUUAGUUAUAUAACAAAAGUAAUGAAAUAUCUAAAUUUCAAAAACAUAUAUUAAAUUAAAGCCAAGCUAGCCAUCACAAAUAAAUAAAAGAAUACAUAUUUGCAUUUAGGAACAACUGCUUUAAACCAUUUUGAAAUUACCAAAAAAAAUUCCUUAAAUGAAAUAAAAUAACAUAAAAUAAAAGAAAUUAAAAAUCCAAUAUUUUUAUUUUCAAGUGAUGAAAUUAAAAUUUUGGUUACAAUUCCAUGUGACUGCUGUUGUUUAGCCUAGCCAACGAAUUGUCCAUUUCCUUAUAAAAAAAAAUUCAUCUUGAAUGCAAUUUGCAAAUCAGUUAUAACAACAUCGCAUCUAAUGAGAGAAAGACUUUCCUAUGUUUAGUAGGUGAGGCAAAUACGUGCUAGAAUAAUAGGAAAAUUGUUGUUAUAUUAAUUGGGGCAAACUUCAAUUCAUCCCCCUGCCAACAAAAAUCUUCAAUUUACCUUUCAAAAACAUGAAAACCUCAACUUACCUCAAUUUUUGUUCAGAAGAUGAGCGUAAUAAUGAUCGUUAUUAGUAUUUCAACAUAUUACUCUCUUGUAGAUUGAGUCAAUGAUAGGUAUACAACAAAAUAGUGUCAGAUGCAUGCACAAAAGACACAUGACAUAACAACGCAUACUCAUAAUGGAUUAAUUUCUUCUUAUUAAGACAUAUUUUCAAUAUCACUAUAAUUGAUCAUUGUUGAAAUAAGUGUGCUUUCAGUGUUUACCACUACAAGGAAAGCUAAGAUGAUGAAACUAAGACUCUUCGACAUAUUUCUGUUUCUUAGGUGAAUUGUAAGUAACUUAAUUAGAAAUAAAAGAGAUCUACAAUAAUCAGAAAGGCAUGAGCCUCCAUUUAUAUGAAUGAAUAUUGAGAAACCAGUCGCAGUGACAUUAAUGGGAUUGAAAGAUUCCAUAAAUGAGGAUUAAAUAAAUUAUGUUGUGUUUGUUUAAAUUAACUAUUGACUUUAAUAUAAUGUUGCAUUAUAAAGGCAAUUUUAACGUACAUUCAUUUAAUUUUAUCAUUUUUAGUGUUAUUAUUUUGUUCAAUUUAUUAUUAGAUUCAUUCUCUUCAUAUCAGUCGUCAAGCUAUUUUUUUAUGUACAAAGAUGUUUCUAUAAGCCACGACCUCUAAUAAAAUCAACCACAUCUUAUUUUAAGCAUGCCAAUGAUGCAAUACAAUGCUAUAUACUUACAUGGAUAUACAGUAAAACUUAUAUAAGUUAAUAAUGACAAAAUCAUUUAACAUAUAUCAAUUUAAAGAGAAAUUUGUAUUAAUCAAUCAACAAGUUAUAUAAGAGAUUAUGGUUUACAAUUCAAUGGUCAUAUUCAUAUUAUGAGAUAAUAAUUUCCUAAGCUUACAAACAUAACUUUUAUAAUAUGUUAUUAAAUAAAAUAUGACCCAACUAUUAUUUAUUUUUUUCUUCAAAUCCAAACAUAAUGGGAUCUCAUCUGUGAUUUUACUUAUUCCUGUUGAAUUCAAAACUACAAUAAUUUUGAAUUUUUUUUUUGUUAACUGUAAUCAAUAUUUAGGGGAUUAAGUUAUUUUCAAUUGACUAGAUUGGUAAAAUAAUAUGAAUUAUCUAGUUGAUUAAAUAUAUGUUUAUUGAAUUGUAUAUACACUCGAUAAAUUAAUAGAUUAUUAACUUAUUGAUUAAUUUGCAUCAUAUGCACUUUAAGUUUAUAAUAAGUGUAUUAUUUUCCCCUUCAAUAUAAAAUUUUUCAAAGUUAUUGGAUUUAUUACAUAUUAUCACUAGUAAAAUUUUGGGGUGAGCCGAGUUCAACACGACGAAUAAUAGAUGUUGGUUGUGAAAUUUGACACGGUUGUUAAAUGUAUCGUGUUUAGAAUAAUUUAAAAUUGUCACUACAUGAAAUCGAGACAAUUCAAGCAUAAUUCAAUGGUUGUGUAGUUGUUUAAUUUCAACACUCGAGUGUGACAUUAGCUUAAUUUGUAUUAAGCUAAAAAAAAUGAGAGGAGAGAGAGCCGGUUCUAUAAAUUGACUGAAGGGGGAGAUAAAGGGAGAGAGAGAGAAAGAAAGUUGACCGAGUUAACCCGCGAACUAGACCCGAUCGUAUCUUCCAUUUUCGGCCACCCCACCAGUCGAUCAAGGUACCGAUUGAAAGCUUGGAAGCUGGCUGUCACUUCCUUGCCAUUAUCACCAUCGAAAACCGACUAGAGCACUGGUCAUCAAGCUCGAAAAGGUCGCGGCAAGUCCCACCUCUACUCGCUAUCGUCUUAUGGGGACUAGUUUAUACAUGCAGAGAUAUUAUGAGAUCUAUGAGACAUAAGAGAUGGCAUUUCCUUGUCAACCUGGUGCAGCUCUGGGACAUGACGAUUCCCUAAUUAGUAUAUCGUUGCCCGCCCGUUGAGGUCCAAGUAUGACAAGAUUAUUCUCCUGGAUACUUGUUUACUGACAGUAUUUUGGAAUACAAUAUUUGAGUUUGCAGUGUGUUAUGAUUUUUCUUAAUUUUAUGCAAUAUUAUAUAUUCUGUUAAUGUCAUUGUAUGAUUAUAAUUUAAUAAGUUAUUUAAGUUUCUUAUGGAAAUUUGGGGAAAUUUUUUUUUGAAAAGGAUAAAUUUUUUUAAAACCAGGUUUUUUUAAAAAAACUAUUCCCUUUCAGGGGUUUUUUUUUCCCCCUUUUUUUUUUUUUUUUCCCCCCCCCCCCCCCCCCCCCCCCCCGCCCACAAGACAAUUGCACAUACAACAGUCGGCCCAGCAAUGAUAGUUAUUUUAGAAAUAUUGUAUUUUGACAUUAGAAUGGUCAGAUGAUAACUGGUAUUUUGAUUGAGGAAGUUGAAUGCGGAGGUUGGUUGUGUAUUGAACUAUUUUAGGAGUGUUUGUUUUAUAAAUUGUAGGUUGGAAAUAUUACAUCUAUAAGGGAGAUACGACAUAAUACUUAUUAAAUGGAAUAUUGUCAAUUAUGUUAUAGGAUAUCAGGCACAUUUGCCUCGUGUGGUUUAGGGCGAGUCGUUUCAUAAUUAAUACAUCUCUUUAUAUUAAUAGAUAUUGCAUGAUUUUGACAUUAUUAAUUUACAAAGGCUUUAUUGUAUAUCCACAAAAAUAUCUAGCAUUACAUUGCGCCAACGGCUUGUCUAAAAUAUAGGAUGUGGUUAAUUUCAUUGGAGGACAUCAUUUAUAGAAAUAUCUUUAUCUAUUAAAAAGAAUAGCUUGACGAUUGAUAUAAAGAGAAAACAUCUAAUAAUAAACUAAACAAAAUAAUAAGACAAAAAUGAUAAAAUUAAGGAAAUAUUUGUUGAAAUUACCUUCAUAAUGCAUCAAGAUAUUAAAAUUAAUAGUUUAUUCAAACAAAAUCGGUAUAAUUUUUUAAGCUUCAUUUUGAAUUCUUUUCAAUUACAUUAAAGUCAAUACAAUACAUUUCUCAAUAUUCCUUUAUAAAAAUAGAAGCUCAUGUCUUUCUAAUUCCUACACAUCCAUUUUAAUUCAAAUUAAGCUGUUUAGAAUUCAAAUAAGAAAUUGAAAAAAUGUCAAAGGGGCCAAUUUCAUCAUGCUUGUAAUGGUAAACACUAAACUCAUGCUAGCAUAGAUGCUUCAUUUUCUCUUCCUUAGGCUUACAAGGGAAAAUUGUUUGAUCGAGAAGUUACUAUACCUACACAUGCCUCAGGGGGAAUGUAAAUGAUUUUGAUAAUCAGUUGUUUCUUUCAUCUUUAUCAGUGCUUUUGUGAUAAGGGAAAAAGCUUUUUUCAUCCCUAUAGUUGGAUAUAAUAGCCCAUUUCAUCCUUACUUUUUAAACAAUAGCUCGUUUCAUCCUUAUUUUUCAAACAAUAACCUAAAAUACCCUUCCGUGAAUUUAGAAUUAGUUUACGCUAUAAUUCAUUGAGGGCAAAAUAGGAUUUUCAGUUAAAUAAAUACAAACCUUUUUAAAAUACAAAUUUCAAGAAUAAUUGAAUAAUAUCUAACUUUUUCCAUAAAUUUAAAAUUUAAGGACAACUUAAUAAAACAAAAAUAAUACUGAAGAAUAUGCAACAUGUGUGUAUGUGUGUGUGUUCAUUAAUUGUUUUUUUACUGAAGUCAACUAAAUAAUAACAACAACAGCAACAGCAACAACAACAACAACAACAACAACAACAACAAUAAUAAUAAUAAUUCUUUUCAAUAAGGAAUCACUAUUUAUAAUAAGGUCAAGAAUAAGCUAAAAGAUUAAAAACAAAAUCCAAUACAAUAUAUUUUAUUCUGUAGUAUUUUUAAAUACAUGUUAUAAAUUUAGAGCACAUUUUUUUUAAGUAAAUGAAGAAGUCUGUAAUUACUUUUAAUAGAAUAACAAUACUGAUUGAUUAUUUAUUUAUUCAUCUCGACCAUAUUAAAGUUAAGGAUAAGCUAAAGGAUAAAAAAAAUUACUCUAGUGCCUAUGAAAUUUAUGUUUUUUUGGUCCUAAAUAUAUAUAUUUACAUAUUAUUUAAUGUUAUUAUUGUUUAUUUAUUAAGUUAUCCUUAAAGCUAGAUGUUUUUUAUUUGUGUUUGAGAGUUUAUUUUAAAAUAAUUUAUCAUUAUUUAGAAAUCCUAUUUUACCCUCAAUGAAUUAUAUAACACAAUAACAGUAAAUUAAUAAAAGGAUGUUUUGGGCUAUUGCUUAAAAAAUAUGGAUGAAAUGAGCUAUUAUUUAAACAAUAAGGAUGAAAUGAACUAUUGCAUCAUACCUUAGGGGUGAAAAGGGCAUUUUCCCUUGUGAUAAUGAUCAAUUGUAGUGAAAUUGAAACCGUGUUUCAAUAAAAGUAGAAAUUAAUCCACUAUGAGUACCUGAUGCGUUGUCAUCUACUUUUUGUGUGUGUUUUUGGUGUGCUUUGUUUUAUGCAAAUCAUUGAUCAAUCUAUGAGAAACAAAUUUAUUGAAACACUAAUAAUGAUCAUGCGAUCAUAAUUAAUGUUUGUAACAUACGUAAUAUUUAAAUGUUAAGUCUAUUUUCUUUUAGGGUGAGGGUAUAUGGAUCCUAUUUUAUUGUAAUCUAAUUUUUUUUCCUAAAUCUUAUAUUCCAAAACCAUCUGAUUUAAUUUAUGGGUAAAUUCAAUUUAUGCCCCAAGAAUGUGAAAAAAAUCACUUCACCCACAUUUACUGCUAUGAAAAUAAAUAAAAGAUCAUCAACUUGCCCCCUAUUUAAGCUCAUCUUCUGAACAAAAAAUAGUGUAGAUUGAGGUUCUCAUGCUUUUAAAGGGUAGACUGAAGAUUGUUAUUAGGAGGGGGAUAAAUUAAAGUUUACCUCAAUUAAUAUAAGAAAACUUCUCAUAUUAUUUCUGACACGUAUUUGACGUGUUGACAUGCCCACAUCAAUUCAAUUGGUAACUCAUGUUGAACGAAUGGAUUGAUUAGAUAAAUUAUCAUAGGAUCUUAGGCAAUCUUGUAUUCCACAUACCUUACUAACUUAUUUCUUAAGAAUUUUUGUAAUUGCAUUUGUUGUAAUUUGUAAUAGCUAAUUACAAGAACUGACUCAAUACUUCAAUCUUGAAUCAAUCAAGAUCGAUUUGGAAUCAAGAUUAAUGAAGAACAGAGUACAAACAGAUCACAUCUGAAGAGUUCCAAGAAUCACAUGCAAAGAAGAAUUAUUCUAAUUGUAGAAGAAAUGAGUGAGAAAUGGCUUAUAUGCACAAGUUUAAAAAACCAGACAGUAAAACU